This 72-nucleotide transfer RNA is filed under the name Capra hircus (goat). It matches the Rfam family "tRNA". Rfam says of the family: Transfer RNA (tRNA) molecules are approximately 80 nucleotides in length. Their secondary structure includes four short double-helical elements and three loops (D, anti-codon, and T loops). Lineage: Eukaryota; Metazoa; Chordata; Mammalia; Artiodactyla; Bovidae. RNAcentral also lists the same sequence under 1 other name. The record is from Rfam by way of RNAcentral.
UCCCUGUUGGCUCAGAUGGUAAAGAAUCUGCCUGCAAUGCAGGAGACCUGGGUUUGAUCCCCAGGUCAGGAG